Molecule: ribosomal RNA, 478 nt
Filed under: uncultured bacterium
Lineage: Bacteria
Description: partial 16S ribosomal RNA
Rfam family: Bacterial small subunit ribosomal RNA
Source: RNAcentral
GAUGAACGCUGGCGGCGUGCUUAACACAUGCGAGUCGAACGAGAAAUGUAGACGGACACCUUCGGGCGGAAGCCUUCAUUUCGAGUGGCGGACGGGUGAGUAACGCGUGGGUAACCUGCCUCAUACAGGGGGAUAACAGUUGGAAACGACUGUUAAUACCGCAUAAGACCACAGCAUCGCAUGAUGCGGGGGUAAAAACUCCGGUGGUAUGAGAUGGACCCGCGUUCGAUUAGCCAGUUGGCGGGGUAACGGCCCACCAAAGCGACGAUCGAUAGCCGAUCUGAGAGGAUGACCGGCCACAUUGGGACUGAGACACGGCCCAAACUCCUACGGGAGGCAGCAGUGGGGAAUAUUGCACAAUGGGGGAAACCCUGAUGCAGCGACGCCGCGUGAGUGAAGAAGUACUUCGGUAUGUAAAGCUCUAUCAGCAGGGAAGAAAAUGACGGUACCUGAGUAAGAAGCCCCGGCUAACUACGUG